Molecule: ribosomal RNA, 432 nt
Filed under: uncultured bacterium
Lineage: Bacteria
Description: partial 16S ribosomal RNA
Rfam family: Bacterial small subunit ribosomal RNA
Source: RNAcentral
GAUGAACGCUGGCGGUAUGCUUAACACAUGCAAGUCGAACGGUCACUUCGGUGGUAGUGGCGGACGGGUGAGUAACGCGUGAGAAUCUGUCUUCAGGUCGGGGACAACAGUUAGUAAUGACUGCUAAUACCGGAUGUGCCUUUGGGUGAAAGAUUUAUUGCCUGAAAAAGAGCUCGCGUCAGAUUAGCUAGUAGGUGGUGUAAGAGACUACCUAGGCUCCGAUCUGUAGCUGGUCUGAGAGGACGAUCAGCCACACUGGAACUGAGACACGGUCCAGACUCCUACGGGAGGCAGCAGUGGGGAAUUUUCCGCAAUGGGCGAAAGCCUGACGGAGCAAUACCGCGUGAGGGACGAAGGCUUUUGGGUCGUAAACCUCUUUUCUCAAGGAAGAUGAUGACGGUACUUGAGGAAUAAGCAUCGGCUAACUCUGUG